Molecule: long non-coding RNA, 1540 nt
Filed under: Salmo salar (Atlantic salmon)
Lineage: Eukaryota; Metazoa; Chordata; Actinopteri; Salmoniformes; Salmonidae
Description: lncRNA (ENSSSAG00000116421.1)
Source: RNAcentral
GUUGGUCACCCAGGGAAUGACAUCACUUCAUUUGCGCGCAUUCACGAGAGUGGUAGCUCUGUUCCAAAACGUUUUUCAAGACACAGGAACCGUCCGGUUGUAAUAUUACUGAAUCUUUACGUUCUAAAGGCCCUAAAGAUUGAUGUUUUACAACGUUUGACAUGUUUGAACGAACGUAAAUACAACUUUUUUAAACUUUUCGUCGUGACAUUGUCCGCGCGCUUCCUACAUUUGGAGUAGCUGAACUGAACGCGCAAACAACAAGGAGUUAUUUGGACAUAAAUUAUGGAGUUUAUCGAACAAAACAACAUUUAUUGUGGACCUGGGAUUCCUGGAAGUGUCUUCUGAUGAAGAUCAUCAAAGAAGUUGGUGUUGGUGCUCUAGACAGAAGGCAAGUAGUUAAAAGGUUGCAGAUGAUGAUAGAAUGGCUUGGAAAUCAUACAACAUUGAUGGCCAGCUGCUGUUGACCCCCAAGAGGUUAAUUUGAGUGAGAAAGAGUUGAAAAUGUUAUGCAAUGGCAGCUGCAGCUGCAGCUCCUCAAGCCAUGAUACUUCACGUUGUUGAUGCUGACCAUACAAGGAAGAUAAACCUCAGCUCCAGCAUCUGUUGAUGACUUGAUAAACAUUUUGAAGGCCAAGUUUGAGUUUGACUACAACUUCCGCUUGCAGUAUGAAGACCUUGACUUUGAUGGACAACUUACCUGCUUGAUUGAGAGUGCACCUUUUAGUGGAAGGAGGAGAUACAAGUUAUACAGCUGACACAGUAAUACUUUCAGAUGUGUCUUCCCCAAAGCGCCUCAGUAGGUGGCCGACAGACGUUUUUCCCAUGCCUACUUUUGCAUUAUAGAGUUGAAGCUUAGAGAAAGAAAUGCUGCCUUUAAAUGGGAUGGAACAUAUAUUCAGUUGUCUAGAGACCUAAAACAUGGCAUCUUAGAGAAAGUUGCUACUACUGUGUACAGUUUCAAGGCUUACCCAAAUGACAGAGAUAGGAAAGGCAGCUGAAGCUCUUGUUACGAAACCCCCGUCUGAAAGAGGCAGGAUCUAACACUGGGUGGAAUGGAUGGAAGAACAGCAUCAACUUCAAGAUGGGUAACUACAGAACCAAGUUGAGGAAAGCAGGAUGUCAGGAGGUCUCUGUAACGCAAGAAAAAUAAGCAGAAGGAAUCCAGAGAACGAACCAACGCAUUCAAAUAUAAAUAGAAUUAAGUGGGAUGAAGUUCAUUUUCUGCCAAACCAUUUCCUGCUGAGGCAGGAUAGGAUAGGAGUUCCCUGAUCUCUGAGUUGUAGGUGUAUGCAGAAUUCCAGUGAAUUACAAACCAGAACUUGCUAAACAUCUUCUAUGCUGAGAUUGACCAUCACACUCGGUUGAUGACCUUGUAUAGACAGAGGGCAUCGAAGACUGGAAGGACUGCUGACGCUUUGGUUGACAUUCUGAGGUGUCAUGAUCUACAGAAUGAGGUGAUCGAUGGUAUCAAAAGCAGCACUAAGGUCUAGGAGCACGAGGACAGAUGCAGAGACUCGGUCUGACGCCAUUAAAAGGU